CGAGGGUCACAACAAAAUCUUAAAUUUGCAAUAAAUGCAUCACCUACUUUCUUACAUUUUAUCUCUAUUUAUAAGUUUCAAAAUGGGUCCGAGAUUAGCAAAACCCUAAUAACGACCCAAUCAUGGCUCAUUACCCACUAAGUAAUACUUACUAGUAAUCUUGAUUUGAAGUGAUAUUUUAAGGAUGGUCGUUGUUGGGGGAUG
RNAcentral lists this long non-coding RNA (204 nucleotides) under Vigna radiata. Its description in RNAcentral is "long non-coding RNA (VRAD_LNC010069)". Lineage: Eukaryota; Viridiplantae; Streptophyta; Magnoliopsida; Fabales; Fabaceae. The record is from RNAcentral.